This 918-nucleotide ribosomal RNA is filed under the name Corynebacterium durum. RNAcentral describes it as "bacterial SSU rRNA". The stretch from base 1 to 800 matches the Rfam family "Bacterial small subunit ribosomal RNA", at positions 28 to 873 of the family's 1533-position model. Lineage: Bacteria; Bacillati; Actinomycetota; Actinomycetes; Mycobacteriales; Corynebacteriaceae. The record is from RNAcentral.
GAUGAACGCUGACAGAAUGCUUAACACAUGCAAGUCUACUUGAACUUCGGUUUGGGUGGCGGACGGGUGAGUAACGCGUAAAGAACUUGCCUCACAGUUAGGGACAACAUUUGGAAACGAAUGCUAAUACCUGAUAUUAUGAUUUUAGGGCAUCCUAAGAUUAUGAAAGCUAUAUGUGCUGUGAGAGAGCUUUGCGUCCCAUUAGCUAGUUGGAGAGGUAACGGCUCACCAAGGCGAUGAUGGGUAGCCGGCCUGAGAGGGUGAACGGCCACAAGGGGACUGAGACACGGCCCUUACUCCUACGGGAGGCAGCAGUGGGGAAUAUUGGACAAUGGACCAAAAGUCUGAUCCAGCAAUUCUGUGUGCACGAUGACGUUUUUCGGAAUGUAAAGUGCUUUCAGUUGGGAAGAAAAAAAUGACGGUACCAACGUAAUAAGUGACGGCUAAAUACGUGCCAGCAGCCGCGGUAAUACGUAUGUCACAAGCGUUAUCCGGAUUUAUUGGGCGUAAAGCGCGGCUUGGUGGUUAUGUAAGUCUGAUGUGAAAAUGCAGGGCUCAACUCUGUAUUGCGUGUGGAGACUGCGUGACUAUAGUACUUGUAGAGUAAUCGUGAACUUGUAGUGUGGAUGUGAAAAUUUGUUGAUAUUUGUAGGAAUGCCGAUGGUGAAGCACGCCUGAUUGGACGAUUCUGAUGCUUGGUGCGCUGGAGUGUGUUUAUGAAACAAGAUUGAAUACCGUGGUAUGUGAUGGGCUGUGUGCGUUGUUGGGAUGUGUGUGGUUGUGUGAGCUGCGCGUCUGCCGUGGGUGGUGACGAAAUGCAUAUGAUGUAAUCUCAUAGAGAGUGUGUGUUGUUGGUCUAGUGUCUGUCUCCUGUGCUGGGUGUGUGUUUUGUGUGGUUGCGUGUGUUGGUGUGUGGGU